AAACAUUACCAAAAAAAAAAAAAAUCCAUUAGUCAAUUUGCAGUUCCUUGAAUUUGGGAUAGAACAUUACAACUGGUUGCCAAGAUGCUGAGACAAUUGCAAAGAAACUAAGAGCUUAGGAGACUAGUGCUCUAGAUUCCCUAACCGGCAAACCAAUAAUACUUGAUGGAUGAGCAUCUAAAUAGUUUAAGAGAAUUCUGAUUAAUCAAAUAACUAAAUAAAAGCACUACUACACUUGAUGAAAAAAUUUGGGACCAAAUCUACUGCUACAAUUUUUUAUGACAACAGACAAAACACAAAAGGAAACCACUAUUCUUCAAAUUCAUCAAAGCCAACUUUUUUUUUCCUACAAUAGACUCGCUCGAACUCGAGACUAAAGCUCACUGGUAAACCCAACUGAUAUUAAUACAAGCAUUAAGUUUACCAUUCCAAGCCUGCAGUCAUUAAAAGGGGAAAAAAAUAUAAUGAAUAUAAAAUUCCAAAAUUUCAUUUCCUUCACCUUUUUUUCCUUCUCUUAGUCACCCGACAGUUUUUAAGGGGGAUAAAAAAAACAGAUUUGCUCUCUUCUAGCCAUAUUUUAUCAAACCGAGCAAAAUAGGAAAGCAAGAAGCAAA
RNAcentral lists this unclassified non-coding RNA (614 nucleotides) under Hevea brasiliensis (rubber tree). The record is from RNAcentral. Lineage: Eukaryota; Viridiplantae; Streptophyta; Magnoliopsida; Malpighiales; Euphorbiaceae.